This 207-nucleotide ribosomal RNA is filed under the name uncultured bacterium. RNAcentral's name for it is "partial 16S ribosomal RNA". It matches the Rfam family "Bacterial small subunit ribosomal RNA", at positions 568 to 774 of the family's 1533-position model. The record is from RNAcentral.
UGCGCAGGCGGCCCGAUAAGUCAGGGGUGAAAUAUGACGGCUCAACCGUCAAACUGCCCCUGAAACUGUCAGGCUUGAGUUCGAGAGAGGUAAGUGGAAUUCCAGGUGUAGCGGUGAAAUGCGUAAAUAUCUGGAGGAACACCGGUGGCGAAGGCGGCUUACUGGCUCGAUACUGACGCUCAGGCACGAAAGCAUGGGGAGCGAACG